Molecule: long non-coding RNA, 4190 nt
Organism: Colias croceus (clouded yellow)
Lineage: Eukaryota; Metazoa; Arthropoda; Insecta; Lepidoptera; Pieridae
Exons: 5
Source: RefSeq, a predicted model, not a curated record
UCCGUUUGUUUUCUGAAAUUUGAAUUAUUCUUGAGUUUGUUGUUAAUUUUAAAAUGGCUUCUAAGAGGAAGGUGUAUUGUGUUUUUGGAUGUAGUGAAAUGGGAGCAAUUAUGCAUCGUUUCCCUGACCCUUCAAGACAACGAGUUGUUUGCUACCGGGAUGUCAAUUGUUGGUGAAUGACUAAAAGAUCUUGAGCCUGACAUGAUCUAUAGAAACAAGAGACUGUGAUUACCAUUUCAAACCUGAGCACAAAGUUUCAGGUCACCAAUUACUCCAUUUAUCUGUUCCAUCAAUCUACUUGAGUGGUAUAUUUCAUUCUGCGAGUACAGCAGUUUACAUGGAACAUAACUAUUCUCAGCCAAGGAUGUGGCCUUGUGAGACAAGGGCAAAUGAAGAUAAUGACGUCCCAUUAAAUCAGCAAAUUUUAGAUAAAGAUAUGGGUGUAUCUUUGGCGCAACACCAAGAAUAUAAAAAGCUUCUCAAGCAAUUGAAAAAGUCUGAGAAGACAAAGGCUGCUUUCAAAAAGAAAUAUAUCCUGGCCAAAAAAAUUACAAAAACAGCAGCUUUUGACAUCAUUUCAAAGAAAAUGUCAUCAACUGCGAAGAUAUUUUGCCAAAUGCAAGUCACACAAAGUGGGAAGAAAAAACGUGGAAGAAGAUUCACAUUAGAUGAAAAAAUAUUAGCAUUGUCUUUGUACAAACCAUCACCAAAAUCAUAUCGAUUACUGAGCAAAUUGUGUGUGCUACCUAGCAGGAGAACACUACAAAAUUUGCUGUCCAAAAUUUCAUUGACAACUGGAAUUAAUGACAUUAUUUUUGAACAUUUAAAAAAGAAAGUUAAUAAGAUGCCUGAAUCUCAUAAAUAUUGUGCGUUCAUAGAGAUCUAGAGAGAUGCCAAUCGCUUGCGCUGAGUACGAAACCUGGUGUCUCAUAAAAAUUUACUACACGGCCGUACUACACGAUCGAACGUUUUUGUUAGCUUUAGUAUGUUCAUUAUACAUUGCGGUAUUCGAACUACGCGUUUGAAUAGAGUCACGUACAGAAGAAGCAUUGUAAACUAUUUACAUAAAUUAUUGUGACUGUCGUUCUGUCACAAUAUAAUAAAACCAAGAAUCAUUCUACGUAAUAUUGUUUUUGAAAUUUUAGUAAGAAAAUCGUAUAAUUUCCAGUACUUACCGAUGGUAGGUAGAUUACCUAUGUGAUUCCAUUUGACUUAAAGUUGCUAGUUUCACUUCGGUUUUUAAAAACUUUAACGGAACAACACGGCAUUGUCAAAUAAUACCCGGCCGACGGUCGAACGUCAACUGAAUGCAACAAACAGCAUGUGUUCUCUUUUUGGGCAUAUUGCUGCGACACCGGCCCCGCCCCCUAACCAUAUCUCCCUUUAGUUUCUGUGAUCUGUGUGUGCGUUAUUAUUUGACGAGAUGGCAAUCGGACCAGGUGUGUCAUAUGACAAAAAAAAUUGCAAGUUGACUGGGUUUGUAGAUGAUGGUAAAACAUGCACAACUGAGUAUUGUGAUCAUGUUUUGGUGUUUAUGAUCAGAGGAGUCAUAAAAAAUAUAAGCAACCCCUGGCUUUUUAUUAUUGCAGUGGAAGCACAAAGGCGAUUGAUUUAAAAAACCAAAUAAAAACAGUGGUCGAAAAAGUUCACGAAACGGGCCUAAAAAUUUGCGCAACUGUUUGCGAUCAAGGUGCCUCCAACAUUGCAGCGAUCAACAAAUUAAAAAAUGAAACAAAGCAAAAAUACCUACGAAAUGGACAAGAAAUCAAAGAAGAAUUUUUCAAAGUGGGCGAUAUAAAAAUAUAUCAUAUUUUUGAUCCACCACAUCUGAUAAAAGGGGUCAGAAAUAAUUUAAUCUCUAAAAAUUUAAAAUGGGACCACAUUGUGGCCUUGUACAAUAGAGCCCCUGGGUAAAAAGGCGUCAGGCUGGUGCCAAAAUUAACAGCCCAACACGUUUUGCCGGACAAAAUCCCGAAGAUGAGGGUAAAACACUGCACCCAAGUAUUCAGCAAGUCUGUUGGAGUAGCCAUUGGAUUCAUGGGAGAAUCGGGGGCAACUGACAAAGAUUGCUUGGACACAGCAGAUUUGCUGAUGUUAUUCGACGACCUUUUUGACAGUGUCAAUGGCAGUUACAGCUAAGUGAGGGAAGGAAAAAUCUAUAGGUCUGCAGUAACUCCAACCUCACCUCACCACAAAUUGUGGAACGAAAGUUUGCCUAUUCUAAAAUCAAUGUUUAUAAAUGGAUAUAAUCAAGGAGUAGUGCCUUCCUUAUCUAGCUGGGUCAAAACUAUAGAGGGGUUUAAAGCAGUUGCUAAAUAUUUAAGCGCUAAAGGUAUACAUUCACUAUUGCUGCGCAACUUUAAUCAGGAUGCACUGGAGAAUUUUUUUGGGGCAAUUCGAGCUCACGGUUGUAGCAAUAUUAUGCCUACUUCGUCUGCAUUUGAAGCAGCUUAUAAAAUAUUGUUAAUAAAUAAUAUUUCAUCUUCACAUUCAGUUGGUUCAAACUGUGAAAAAGACGACAGUGUAUGUUUGCAAUCAUUAAAACAUUUUUUAAUGAAACCUGUAGACAACAUGAUAUCAGCUGAAUGUGAAGAUGAAAUUAAUAAUGAUCAUUUAUGUAUAGAGUACAUACAGAUAAAUUAAUAAUGAGCAAAACUCCCGAACAUGUUGAGAGAAGCGCAGCAAUAGGAUAUUGUAGUGAAUGGAUAGCACGACUUGCAAAAAAAAAAUAUAUAUAUAUAUAUAUAUAUAUAUAUAAACUGCGGCACUUGCACAAAUAAUAUGGAAGAAAAGGAAUUACAAACUUUCCACAAAUUUAUAAAAAUGAAAGAAUAUGAGGGUAAAAACUGGUUGUGCUAUCCUACAAGAGCAUUGUUUGAUUUUUUUGCCCAAGUAAUAUAUAUAUAUAUGUAAUAUUUGUAUAGAAAUUCUCAAAGAAAAUGCAAAUAAAAAAAAAAUUAUUAAAUUAUAUAAAGCUGAUAGUCAGUGUGAACAUUUGUACUAACACCUUUUUAACUUGCACAAGACACAAGGAGGCAUUGUGUGAGUACAUUAUAAAUAAAAGUACAAUAUUCUUUAUCCAUGCUUGGUGCAAAGAAAUCAUUACUAGAUAGGACGUAACUGCUAUAGCAUUCGUCUGCUAUAGCAGGUACGUCCUAUCUAAUAAUAAGUAUGUAGUAAAAUGGGACACACCUGCUAUAGUAGACGAGUGCCAUAGCAGCUGUGUCCCAUUUUACAGCAUAUAUGUCUAUGAAAUGGGACACAGCUGUUAUAGCAGACGAAUUUGGUAUCAAAUAGGAUAUAUACAGGUGCUAUAGCAGUUGACUGCCAUAGGCUGUUUUUAUGGUAAUGCCACUUCUUUUUGAUAAAAAAUAAAACACCGUUAUUUUGUGACAUUUUAAGCUUUAAUAUUAAUCUUAGAAAAGCGAUAAAAAACACAUCAAAAAGAGUUUACAUCAGAUGAAUGCCAAAACAGUGAAAAAAUCUUCAAGCUUCAUCCCUAACCAUAUGCCAUGAUUCAAAGCAACUUGGACAAAGAGGUGGCUUGUCAAUACAACCUUUACAGCGAUAGCUCGUUUGCUUUGAUAGUUUGUUUUUAGUGCAAACUCGGCAUCUCAAGAAAACUUUAUUGCGUUUUGCGUUCUCAGCCAGUGGUAUGAGUUCUGGCCAGUGUCCAGAUUCAGCCACCGUCUGAAGAAGACUAUCAGUAGUUUUUUUCUUUCGCCUGCUUGAAGUCUUUGCCAGUCUCAUUUGUUGUAUAUCUAAAUGAUAGUGUGUUAUCAGUCACCUGUAGGUAUGAAUUUAUUAUACUCUCUCGGAAACUCAGCAAGGUUGUGUUUGAGUUACAAUACUUUUUGAACAUAUAGUACGCAUUCCACACCAUCAUGUCCAAUAAAUGUAAAAAUACUUUUUUGUAACACCUGAUUGUCUUUUUUGGAGUGGAAUAAUAAGCAAUCAUUUGGUCGGACUUGUCAAUGCCAGACAUAAAUUUGUUAUAUUCACUCACUUCAAUUGGUUUUUUCUUUGCUUGCCCAUACCUGUUUCUAGUUAUUAUUAGACGUGGUUGGUGUUUUGUUGUUAGCAUAUACACAACCCUUUUUAACCGACUUCAAAAAAAAGGAGGAGGUUAUCAAUUCGGCCGGUAUGUUUUUUUUUUUUUUAUGUAUGUACACCGAUUACUCCGAGGUUUC